AGUACAGUGGCGACCGGGUGAGUAACACGUGACUAACCUACCUUUCUGUGGGGAAUAACUCCGGGUAAACCGGCCGCUAAUACCGCAUAACACCGCGAGAAGAAAUGCUUGCGGUCAAAGGAGCAAUUCGCAGAUCGAGGGGGUCGCGGCUGAUUAGCUAGUUGGUGAGGUAACGGCUCACCAAGGCGAUGAUCAGUAGCCGGCCUGAGAGGGCGCACGGCCACACUGGAACUGAAACACGGUCCAGACUCCUACGGGAGGCAGCAGUGGGGAAUUUUGCGCAAUGGGGGAAACCCUGACGCAGCAACGCCGCGUGGAGGAUGAAGUCCCUUGGGACGUAAACUCCUUUCGACCGGGACGAUGAUGACGGUACCGGGAGAAGAAGCCCCGGCUAACUCCGUGCCAGCAGCCGCGGUAAUACGGGGGGGGCGAGCGUUGUUCGGAAUUAUUGGGCGUAAAGGGCGCGUAGGCGGUGUCGCAAGUCGGUAGUGAAAUCUCCAGGCUCAACUUGGAGUCUGCUGCCGAAACUGCGGUGCUUGAGUACUGGAGAGGUGAGUGGAAUUCCCGGUGUAGCGGUGAAAUGCNUAAAUAUCGGGAAGAACACCUGUGGCNNAAGCGGCUCACUGGACAGUAACUGACGCUGAGGCGCGAAAAGCUAUGGGAGCAAACAGGAUUAGAUACCCUGGUAGUCCUAGCCCUAAACGAUGGAAUGCUUGGUGUAGC
This 723-nucleotide ribosomal RNA is filed under the name uncultured Acidobacteriota bacterium. Its description in RNAcentral is "bacterial SSU rRNA". It matches the Rfam family "Bacterial small subunit ribosomal RNA", at positions 89 to 826 of the family's 1533-position model. Lineage: Bacteria; Pseudomonadati; Acidobacteriota. The record is from RNAcentral.